This 321-nucleotide unclassified non-coding RNA is filed under the name Hevea brasiliensis (rubber tree). Lineage: Eukaryota; Viridiplantae; Streptophyta; Magnoliopsida; Malpighiales; Euphorbiaceae. The record is from RNAcentral.
UGGAAGCAGUUCGAGUAACACGUGCCAGAUCAAGGAGGACACGACCUGCACCCAAUCCUUGACUUGGUGGGGAAAAGGAUACAUUCUAGGAUGCUGAGUUCAAUGUAUAUGUCAUAUCUUCUUUCAUUCAUUAUCUGAAGUCGUCCAUGAUAUUUUUAAGCAUGGAUUGAGAAAUGAUGGGUUGAUCAUGAGCCAACGAAACUUUGAGCUUCUUAGAGAGUUUCUGUGAAAGCAGAUAGCGAGAUGCAUAUAUCGCGCUGUCCUUGGGAUGAACAUUAAAAGAUUUCAAUGAUAACCUGAAGUAAAACUCAGUUUUGAAUG